This 71-nucleotide transfer RNA is filed under the name Bos taurus (domestic cattle). It matches the Rfam family "tRNA". Rfam says of the family: Transfer RNA (tRNA) molecules are approximately 80 nucleotides in length. Their secondary structure includes four short double-helical elements and three loops (D, anti-codon, and T loops). Lineage: Eukaryota; Metazoa; Chordata; Mammalia; Artiodactyla; Bovidae. RNAcentral also lists the same sequence under 2 other names. The record is from Rfam by way of RNAcentral.
UCCUGGUAGCUCAGACGGUAAAGAAUCUGGCUGCAACGCAGGAGGCCCAGGUUCAGUUCCUGGGUCAGGAA